This 517-nucleotide ribosomal RNA is filed under the name uncultured bacterium. RNAcentral describes it as "bacterial SSU rRNA". It matches the Rfam family "Bacterial small subunit ribosomal RNA", at positions 372 to 882 of the family's 1533-position model. The record is from RNAcentral.
UGGGCGAAAGCCUGAUCCAGCAAUGCCGCGUGCAGGAUGAAGGCCUUCGGGUUGUAAACUGCUUUUGUACGGAACGAAAAGCUUCGGGUUAAUACCCUGGAGCCAUGACGGUACCGUAAGAAUAAGCACCGGCUAACUACGUGCCAGCAGCCGCGGUAAUACGUAGGGUGCAAGCGUUAAUCGGAAUUACUGGGCGUAAAGCGUGCGCAGGCGGUUUUGUAAGACAGAGGUGAAAUCCCCGGGCUCAACCUGGGAACUGCCUUUGUGACUGCAAGGCUAGAGUACGGCAGAGGGGGAUGGAAUUCCGCGUGUAGCAGUGAAAUGCGUAGAUAUGCGGAGGAACACCGAUGGCGAAGGCAAUCCCCUGGGCCUGUACUGACGCUCAUGCACGAAAGCGUGGGGAGCAAACAGGAUUAGAUACCCUGGUAGUCCACGCCCUAAACGAUGUCAACUGGUUGUUGGGUCUUAACUGACUCAGUAACGAAGCUAACGCGUGAAGUUGACCGCCUGGGGAGUA